GACUGGGGUAGCUGAGUCAGUAGAGCAGGAGACUCUUACUCUCAGGGUUGUGUGUUCGAGCCCCACUUUGGGCA
RNAcentral lists this transfer RNA (74 nucleotides) under Podarcis lilfordi (Lilford's wall lizard). RNAcentral describes it as "tRNA.Lys". The record is from RNAcentral. Lineage: Eukaryota; Metazoa; Chordata; Lepidosauria; Squamata; Lacertidae.